UUGUAGCUAGAGGUCUCUUCCGUCUUUUCCUUCCCCGACUCCCUGCUAGACUCUUUCGUGGACAGAAAGCUCCGGGUAGCCGACUCCACAUCUCCGGCUACCGACAGAGCGUCCACAUCCCCGCCUAGCGACAGAGAGCGUAGAAAAGGACUGCGCCCAGCUGAUCCACCGGCUCCUGCUUCGUUUCUGCUGAGCUAGACCCAGCGAGCCUAGAGAGUUGGGCUGAAUAACUAGUAUUUUCAUUUAAUUGAAUUUGAAGAAAGAACAAAUAUAUACGGGGGCAACCACGAUCUUUAUAAAGAACAUAAGUUCCAGGAAAACAGGAACCUUGUCUCUUGUUCACGUAUCAUCUGCAUAUAGAACAGUGCGUGGCACAUAAUAGGUGCUGAAAUAUAAAUUCUACAAAUGCAAGAAUCUUUGUAUUGCCCAGUGAUGUAAGCCGAGCAUGUGAGACAGAGCCUGGCACCAAUAGGUACCCACAACGAUUUUCAAAUGAAUGAAUGACUGAAUGAAUGAAUGAGUUUUAACAGGAAAAAGUCACAUUUUUAUGUAAAAAGUUACUGUCUUAAUCUCUUUUAUAUUUUAAAGGGAAAAAAUAAUUAACAUUCUGCUAGUCCGAAAUUCAGAUUUGCAGUGAAGAUAUGCUAAGACACAGAAAGAUGAUUUCUUUUCAGGAAAGAAUCUCUAAAUGAAAAUCAUGUGAUUAUUAGGCUCUAUACAUACCAUCAAAAUUCUAAUUCAGUCAGCCCCACCCUGAAUCCAGUCACAACUCUCAUUUAAUCCACUUCCCUCCUCUUCUAAUUGAAUCACUUUCUCCAAUGCUAGUAAACCCUUUCAUUACAAAGUUACCAGCCCACAAAAUGUGACAAUUUUGCUUGAGGCUUUUAGUAAGAAAAUGGAGGAAAAAACUCAAUGCUCACAAGUUAGAAAUUACAUUUAAAGUAGUAUAAAUGAUAGCAUCUGUUCUAUUUUUAACCUAAAAAUGAUUAAUUUUCUAAUAUAAAAAGCUGGUGCUUUAAUCUGUUUUGAUAAGUGAAAAGGAUAGAAAAAUAAAGUAGCUUGCCUUCUCCCAACAAAUCCUGAUUUUAAUUGAAGAUACUUUGGGACCCAGAGAGGAGAUUUCCUGGGAACACCCUCAAAAUGAAAUUUGCUGAUGGUCCAGGCUACAUUACUAGAUAAUAUUAUAAUUUAACCACCUCUUAUCCGAUCCAAGCACAUAGCUACCUAUCACUUUCUGGCCACUCCAUUAUUACUAAGACAAUUAAAAGCAAGCAUAUUAAAAAAAAACAGUUAAAAUGAAAGAACUAAAAUAUAGAAAAUAAAGGGAUAGAAAAGGACGUACCAGGCAAAUAUUAAAAAACAACAAAAAACUGUGUAGCAAAUUAAUUAUCAAAAGUAUUCUUUGAGUAGCAUUAACAAGGACAUUUGUGGGGCAUCUUUUGCAUUCCAAAGAAAUGGAAAACAUUAAGUCAUGAACAUGUAUGUAACUAAUUGCAUGGUCUGGAAAUUUUGAGACAAUAAUAAAGAAUUAAAAGGUAAAACUGACAAAUCUGUAAUGAUGGGAAUUUUUUUAAUGGCAAUCUCUGCCAGAUUAAACAAAUUAGCAACAUUGAUGCAUUGUGUGCACAGAUACAUAUGCUUACUGUAUUUAUAUUUGCAUAUAUAUUUAUAUGUCUCAUUUAUAUAUGUAUAUAAAAUCCUUCAACUAAAACAAAAGAAAUAUAUAUUCUUUUCAAAAAAUGUUGGACAUUCAUACAAUUAACUGUAAAGCCCCCAAAUAAAUUCAAUUAAUGUCUAUGUACUCAUUUCUAAAUGAUAUGUAGUCUUUCUAAUUUUUGAACUUUAUAUAAAUGUGAAAAAUGUUUAUAUAAAUGAAUCAUGUAAAAUGUUCAAAAUGUUUAUGGAAAUGAAUUGUAUGCUUUUAUGUUUUGCUUUCAUAUAGCUGUUGUAUACUUUAUAGAAUUUAAUUGGGUAAAAGUACACAGUAUACUGGGCUGUUUAUACUCUGCACCCUGAUUCCCAACCCCAAGCUACCCCCAUGAGGACAUCUGGGCCCAACAGCUUGGGAGGAAGAAUGAUUAUUUAUUAAUUUAAAAAAUUAUUUCCAGUUUAUUCCAUAGUUGUUACUUUUUUCAAUGAUGUCAAUUAAAAUAUUUUAAAAUUAUUUAGCUUCCUUUUAAUAUCAUGUAUUUACCUAAAGUAUUAUGUUACUGUACCUUUUUUCUUACUCCUACUUUUUCACUUAUUCCUACCACAUAUGCUCUU
Long non-coding RNA from Manis javanica (Malayan pangolin), 2265 nucleotides. RefSeq lists it as uncharacterized. Lineage: Eukaryota; Metazoa; Chordata; Mammalia; Pholidota; Manidae. The record is from RefSeq and is a predicted model, not a curated record.